This 253-nucleotide ribosomal RNA is filed under the name uncultured bacterium. Its description in RNAcentral is "partial 16S ribosomal RNA". It matches the Rfam family "Bacterial small subunit ribosomal RNA", at positions 524 to 776 of the family's 1533-position model. The record is from RNAcentral.
UACAGAGGGCCCAAGCGUUGUUCGGAUUCACUGGGCGUAAAGGGUGCGCAGGUGGGUUUGCAAGUUCGAUGUGAAAGCCCCGGGCUUAACCCGGGAAUGGCAUUGGAUACUGCAGAUCUGGAGGAUCGGAGGGGGGACUGGAAUUCUUGGUGUAGCAGUGAAAUGCGUAGAUAUCAGGAGGAACACCGAUGGCGAAGGCAGAUCUCUGGGCCGUAACUGACGCUGAGGAGCGAAAGCGUGGGGAGCGAACAGG